UUGGUUUAUAGAACUCUCACACUGCCCCCUCCCCCAACUCCUGUGGACAAGCACUAACUGUAGCUUAUUAAAGCUCAGGUUCAGGUCACCACUGACAUACAUGCUGUUAGCGCACAGGAGGCUAUCUGAGGAAAGCCUCACUGAGAUCGCAAGGGGAACCUGAUCAAGACAGGCAGCAACAACAGCGAGUUGCAGACAGACAACAUAAGACAGAUAACACAAGUUAUGCCUCGAAAUUAAACAGAAAUGCCAAGGCA
Molecule: long non-coding RNA, 257 nt
Organism: Micropterus salmoides (largemouth bass)
Lineage: Eukaryota; Metazoa; Chordata; Actinopteri; Centrarchiformes; Centrarchidae
Exons: 2
Source: RefSeq, a predicted model, not a curated record